UACCCGGAAGUUUUUGUACGCUAUCACGUGACUGGAAGUAUAUUAUAUUCGGCGACUGGUUUCACUUUUGACAGAUGGCUAACAAAGCUCUCCAAUUUGCCCCCUUCAGCAGUUUUCUCGAUGCAGGAUUUUGGCACAAACUGUCAGAUAACAAGUUAAAUAUUUAUGGACUCGACGAAUCACCGAAACCUAUACAUGGAUUUUAUUUCAAUGGUGAUCCUGUUGGUGUACCAUGCCGUAUGAAUGUGGAGUAUACUGCCUUUGACGAAAUUUCCAAAACCCCAACCAGAUGUUUCAAGACUGUAGGAACACUGCACAAUACAAAUACAAUUGACAGUUUCAAAGAAUGUGACAAAAAAAGUCUCCUGGAGCAAUCAGGCAAACAGAUAUGGGAAGACAUUGUCAGUGGGAAGGCCGUGGAAGAUCCGACCCUGUUGUCACGAUUUCUACUCCUUACAUAUGCAGACCUGAAAAAAUACGUCUAUUACUACUGGUUUGCAUUUCCAUGUCUUUGUCCACCACUUGACAUUUCCAUGGUAACGACACCAGUGACCUUGGAUAAAGCAUUUUCUGCAGAACAGAUCAAACUCCUGGAAUCUUCUUAUGAUAGGUUUCAGUCAUCAUGUUCCUCAUUUGUCGGUUACUUCCUUAUUACCAUGGAUACAGAGGUCCAAGUUCAAGAGGUCAAAUGUAUGGAUAAACAUUUAGCUGAUUCCAAAAAGGUGACAUUUGGUUUUGCUGACCCAUGUACAUUGGACGGCCAUCCGGGCUGGCCUCUCAGGAAUUACCUAGCUCUUAUUGCCCAAAAAUGGGGAGAUAACCUCAGUGAAAUCCAGGUGUUAUGUUUCCGAGAUCGCAGUAAAGAUGGAGUUAGAAACAUAACCAGCAGUCUCGUAUUUACCGUGAAGUUUACAUCCAUGAAAGAAUUGACAGAAUGUCCUAAAUGUGUGGGAUGGGAGAAAAACGAACGACAAAAGCUAGGACCUAGGAUCGUCAAUCUAAGCUCCAGCAUGGACCCAUCUAAGCUUGCAGCAUCAGCAGUAGACCUCAAUCUGAAGUUGAUGAGGUGGAGACUCCUGCCAGAACUUGACCUUGACCAAAUCUCAAAGACAAAAUGUCUACUACUUGGGGCUGGAACUCUGGGGUGCAAUGUUGCAAGAUGUCUGUUGGGAUGGGGAGUAAGGAAGAUAACUCUGGUCGACAAUGGUACGGUGUCCUACUCCAAUCCUGUGAGACAGAGCCUGUUUGUGUUUGAAGACUGUAUGCAGGGGGGCAGGCCGAAGGCUGAGGCAGCAGCUCUGUCUUUACAGAAAAUAUUCCCAGGAGUUGAUGCUCAGGGAAUUUCUAUGUCGAUUCCGAUGCCAGGCCAUCCUGUUUCAGGAGGGGCCUUAGAAGGCACUAAGAAGGAUGUCCAACAACUGGAAGAUCUAAUAAAAUCUCAUGAUGCAGUGUUCCUCCUCCUGGAUACCAGAGAGAGUCGUUGGUUACCAACUGUCAUGGCUGCUGCUCAUAAGAAGAUAGUGAUUUGUGCGGCUCUGGGUUUUGACACAUUCCUGGUAAUGAGACACGGCCUGAAAUCUGACACGGAGGGCAACACUCCCUCUGAGGUAGAGCCACUCUCUAGUUACAUGAUCAUUCCCGGAGACAAACUUGGAUGCUACUUCUGUAAUGAUGUUGUCGCUCCAGGAAAUUCAACAAGGGACCGAACUCUGGAUCAGCAGUGUACUGUGUCUCGUCCAGGGAUGAGUUACUUAGCCAGUGCAUUGGCUGUGGAGCUGCUUGUCUCACUAGUACAGCAUCCCCUGGGUGGGAAAGCUGAAGCAGACACGAGUGCUAAAGAUGAACAUCUCACCAAAGAUCUGUCGUGUUCUCUGGGAUUAGUACCUCACCAGAUCCGUUGUUUCCUGUCUAGGUAUAAUCAGCUACUACCAGCAUGUAGAGCGUUUGACAAAUGUAGCGCCUGCUCCAAUACGGUUGUGAAUGCUUACAAGAAGGAUGGUAUAGAAUUUCUGCUCCGGGUAUUUAAUGAGCCGAGCAGUUACCUAGAGGACAUCACUGGUCUCACACAGAUGCACCAGGAAACCCUCGACACAGAGAUUCUGGAUUUCAGUGAUGACGAUGACAGUUUUAUGGACAUGUCAUGACAAAAGCCAUUCAUCAACAGAAGAUAAUUAUCCAAUCUAUACUCUAGAGAGGUACAAAAUCAGAUGGGACUCUAGGAUCAAUCGUUAGGUGUUUUAUACAACAUCAGAUGGUAGGACCAAUCAGUAGAGCUGUUUUAUACAACAUCAGAUGGGAAGACCAAUCAGUAGAGCUGUUUUAUACAACAUCAGAUUGGAAGACCAAUCAGUAGAGGUGUUUUAUACAACAUCAGAUGGGAGGACCAAUCAAUAGAGGUGUUUUAUACAACAUCAGAUAGGAGGGCCAAUCAGUAGAGGUGUUUUAUACAACGUCAGAUUGGAGGGCCAAUCAUUAGAGGUGUUUUAUACAACGUCAGAUUGGAGGACCAAUCAAUAGAGGUGUUUUAUACAACGUCAGAUGGGAAGACCAUUCAAUAGAGGUGUUUUAUACAACAUCAGAUGGGAGGCCAAUCCUUUGAGGUGUUUUAUACAACAUCAGAUGGGAGGACCAUUCAAUAGAGGUGUUUUAUACAACAUCAGAUUGGACGACCAAUCAAUAGAGGUGUUUUAUACAACAUCAAUGGGGAGAACCAAUCAACAGGGAUGUUUUAUCAGACUGUUGGGACAUUGAAGAUGUAACUCUGGUGGACCAAAUGUGGCUCCAAUAUUGUGAUAUUGAUUGUGACAUUACCUAUAGCUAUACUAUUUUAAUUUUUAAAUUCAAGUCAGGUUGAGCACAUAUCAUUACAAGCAACACAACUGUUUUGUCUAAUGUAUUGACUUCAAGAUUAUCAAUCCAGAUUUGCAUAAAUCUUCAGGUUCAGAAGUAUAUAAAGAUACCAAAUCCAUAGAUAUACCGUGCUGAAUAACAGCUGAAUACUAUAAUGUCAGUUCUAAUGUUAGGUUACUGUGAAAGUGGAAAAUAGCUUCAAUUUAUCAGUGUGAAACUGUCUAGUGUUUGCAGCAAUAUCUUUAUUAGUUUGUCAGUGUUCACCUGUAUGCCUAUUUAUGAUUUAACAAAAAAAAAAACUUUUCAAAAAUUUGAUAAGUCAUACCAGUGUUGUGAAAACUAUUAGCAAAUAUCUACUUGAUAGGGAUGGUAGGUGAUGCUUUGAUGUAAAUGUCUUACAAAUCUUUGUCAAAUUGUCUACUCUUAUACCUCACUAAAGUCUGGAAACUGUCGUUGUGCUAUAUAAUAAAAAUUGUCAUUUGA
Molecule: unclassified non-coding RNA, 3333 nt
Filed under: Mizuhopecten yessoensis (Yesso scallop)
Lineage: Eukaryota; Metazoa; Mollusca; Bivalvia; Pectinida; Pectinidae
Description: ubiquitin-like modifier-activating enzyme ATG7, transcript variant X1
Source: RNAcentral